This 467-nucleotide ribosomal RNA is filed under the name uncultured bacterium. Its description in RNAcentral is "partial 16S ribosomal RNA". It matches the Rfam family "Bacterial small subunit ribosomal RNA", at positions 29 to 507 of the family's 1533-position model. The record is from RNAcentral.
ACGAACGCUGGCGGCGUGCUUAACACAUGCAAGUCGAACGGAAAGGCCCUGCUUUUGUGGGGUGCUCGAGUGGCGAACGGGUGAGUAACACGUGAGUAACCUGCCCUUGACUUUGGGAUAACUUCAGGAAACUGGGGCUAAUACCGGAUAGGAGCUCCUGCUGCAUGGUGGGGGUUGGAAAGUUUCGGCGGUUGGGGAUGGACUCGCGGCUUAUCAGCUUGUUGGUGGGGUAGUGGCUUACCAAGGCUUUGACGGGUAGCCGGCCUGAGAGGGUGACCGGCGACAUUGGGACGGAGAUACGGCCCAGAGUCCUACGGGAGGCAGCAGUGGGGAAUAUUGCACAAUGGGCGGAAGCCUGAUGCAGCAACGCCGCGUGCGGGAUGACGGCCUUCGGGUUGUAAACCGCUUUCGCCUGUGACGAAGCGUGAGUGACGGUAAUGGGUAAAGAAGCACCGGCUAACUACGUG